This 978-nucleotide long non-coding RNA is filed under the name Bemisia tabaci. RNAcentral's name for it is "lncRNA ENSSSA1UGG010563". Lineage: Eukaryota; Metazoa; Arthropoda; Insecta; Hemiptera; Aleyrodidae. The record is from RNAcentral.
AUGCUUUGUGCCAACUCUUUACAAGGCUACAGCGCCUCUGAUGAAGCUUGCUUGAAUAAUAUUAUUCUAGUUCGCUAUGGUUUUCAGGCUGAUUUUGAUUUCCUAGCUCCUACCAAAGAGUUUUUUGAAAAAGGCUGCACCAUGUGUUUCAGUCCUGGAACUUGCACAUGGAACAGUCUGGCAGGCUGUCCUGAAGCAGCAAUUUGUAAUGUUUACCGAGCAAUUCAAAGUACAGAGAUCAAUCACACGGUUGGAAUUAUCAUUGCACAGUGGCCGGGAAAAUUUAACCUAACCCCAUACCUCUUCUCUUGGCCUGGAUUUCUGGUUGGUGCUGGUCUCAGCUGGAAUGCUAACACACACUUGGAUUUUGUCAAGAGUAGGCUAGCAGCAUUACUGGAUAUGCACAUUUUCAAUGAUGAAAGGAUGAUCAUAGGUCAGUGUAUUAUUGAACUGGGGCUCAUUGAAACAAUGGCCUUGCGUUUAUCUCGCGCUCAAGAGCAAGAUGACAUAUCUGAUCUUCCACCAAAUAUUGGCUCGUUUUUGUAUCGACUUGUCGUUGACUCAGAUAAUGUGUCUCUGGAGACACUUUCUACAGAUAAUUUUAAUAAACUGAUGAGGCUCAUAAAAAAAGUACAAAAUGAAAUUUAUCGCUCAAAAUUGGAGUGCCUCAACGGUGAGAUGGUGAUUCAAGAACUUCUGGUGUCUGUCGAUUUGAUGUUGUGUGCUUGUAAGAUAGGCAGGGCCCUAGUAAGCAAAGGCAUCAACCCGAAUAGUAAUCUGGGAUUAGCUGUCAUCAAUCUUGGAGUCUCUAACUUAUCGCCUACCCUGAGGACUGACAUUGCCAACAAGCUUCUCGCUCUGAUAGAGCAAUAUAAGGGGAUCUGGUUGCAAAGACAUGUUCCUGCUGGUCUGAAGUAUUCCCUUGGAGUUCUCUCAACAGCCCUUCAACGAUUCGUGCCUCAACCAGAAUUCCAAUGA